RNAcentral lists this ribosomal RNA (405 nucleotides) under uncultured bacterium. RNAcentral describes it as "partial 16S ribosomal RNA". It matches the Rfam family "Bacterial small subunit ribosomal RNA", at positions 28 to 526 of the family's 1533-position model. The record is from RNAcentral.
GAUGAACGCUGGCGGCGUGCCUAAUACAUGCAAGUCGAGCGAAGCGGGGACGGUUGAGUAAGACGUGGAUAACCUCCUUUAGUACUGUGACAACUUCGGGUAACCCGAGUUGAACCCGAUACUCCUGGAUUGAUCCGCGCUGCAUUAGCUAGGUGGUAAGGUAAUGGCUUACCAAGGCAACGAUGCAUAGCCGACUGGAGAGGGAGAUCGGCCACACGGGAACUGAGACAGGGUCCAGACUCCUACGGGAGGCAGCAGUAGGGAAUCUUCCGCGAUGGGCGAAAGCCUGACGGAGCAACGGCGCGUGAGUGAUGAAGGACUUCGGAUCGGAAAACUCUGUUAUUAGGGAAGCGGUACCUAAUCAGAAAGCCACGGCUAACUACGUGCCAGCAGCCGCGGUAAUAC